This 38-nucleotide transfer RNA is filed under the name Abudefduf septemfasciatus (banded sergeant). Its description in RNAcentral is "partial tRNA-Thr". The record is from RNAcentral. Lineage: Eukaryota; Metazoa; Chordata; Actinopteri; Pomacentridae.
GCAAUAGUAGCUCAGCGUCAGAGCGCCGGUCUUGUAAG